CAACCUAGUAUAUGCAGAUAUCUUUUGAAAUAGAGAUAGUCCUGAAUAUGGUGUCUCCAUAAUUAGCUGUUUGAUGUUGAAUGCAAUUGAGUUUUCCUGAUCCAGUGAACCAGACAAUGGAAAUCAUUGGGGAUUAACAGCAGGGCUAUGUAAUGAUUCUUGAUAUAGCAAACCUUUCUUUCCUUGUUCACUGAUAAAAAUAUUUUAUCAGUAAAUAAAGCACUCAAUUCAAAUGCUUACAAUUUUAAAUUUUAAAAGGACAUCCAGAAUUGA
Molecule: long non-coding RNA, 273 nt
Filed under: Bos taurus (domestic cattle)
Lineage: Eukaryota; Metazoa; Chordata; Mammalia; Artiodactyla; Bovidae
Description: long non-coding RNA NONBTAT001653
Source: RNAcentral